Molecule: ribosomal RNA, 562 nt
Filed under: uncultured bacterium
Lineage: Bacteria
Description: partial 16S ribosomal RNA
Rfam family: Bacterial small subunit ribosomal RNA
Source: RNAcentral
AGGGAAUCUUCGGCAAUGGGGGCAACCCUGACCGAGCAACGCCGCGUGAGUGAAGAAGGUUUUCGGAUCGUAAAGCUCUGUUGUAAGUCAAGAACGGGUGUGAGAGUGGAAAGUUCACACUGUGACGGUAGCUUACCAGAAAGGGACGGCUAACUACGUGCCAGCAGCCGCGGUAAUACGUAGGUCCCGAGCGUUGUCCGGAUUUAUUGGGCGUAAAGCGAGCGCAGGCGGUUUGAUAAGUCUGAAGUUAAAGGCUGUGGCUCAACCAUAGUUCGCUUUGGAAACUGUCAAACUUGAGUGCAGAAGGGGAGAGUGGAAUUCCAUGUGUAGCGGUGAAAUGCGUAGAUAUAUGGAGGAACACCGGUGGCGAAAGCGGCUCUCUGGUCUGUAACUGACGCUGAGGCUCGAAAGCGUGGGGAGCGAACAGGAUUAGAUACCCUGGUAGUCCACGCCGUAAACGAUGAGUGCUAGGUGUUGGAUCCUUUCCGGGAUUCAGUGCCGCAGCUAACGCAUUAAGCACUCCGCCUGGGGAGUACGACCGCAAGGUUGAAACUCUAAAGUG